RNAcentral lists this long non-coding RNA (301 nucleotides) under Struthio camelus australis. RNAcentral describes it as "lncRNA (ENSSCUG00000009395.1)". The record is from RNAcentral. Lineage: Eukaryota; Metazoa; Chordata; Aves; Struthioniformes; Struthionidae.
AAGUAUGCAUUUAACGUUAAGAUUGCAUGCAAGUAUCUGCAGAAGCUGGGUCUAAUGAAUUCAGAGAAGUAGCAGGCUUUUGAAACUUACACUGAAGAGAGGAAAAACAGAAAAGAAUAAAGUGUUCUGAGGAGGAGAACUUAAGAUGUGCAGAUGUACAAUUACUUGCCUCAAGUCCCACUGGAGCUGAGGUACGAACCACGAUCUCCCGAGAUUCUGAUGUAGCAUCUGGACCGUAAACCUGUAAGGAGCAGUCACAGUGUCUCCUCUCCCCAAGUCUUAGUACUCCAGAUAUUCUGAU